This 480-nucleotide ribosomal RNA is filed under the name uncultured bacterium. Its description in RNAcentral is "partial 16S ribosomal RNA". It matches the Rfam family "Bacterial small subunit ribosomal RNA", at positions 28 to 523 of the family's 1533-position model. The record is from RNAcentral.
GACGAACGCUGGCGGCGUGCUUAACACAUGCAAGUCGAACGGAAAGGCCCCUUCGGGGGUGCUCGAGUGGCGAACGGGUGAGUAACACGUGGGUGAUCUGCCCUGCACUUUGGGAUAAGCCUGGGAAACUGGGUCUAAUACCGGAUAGGACUCCGAGAUGCAUGUCUUGGGGUGGAAAGCUUUUGCGGUGUGGGAUGGGCCCGCGGCCGAUCAGCUUGUUGGUGGGGUGAUGGCCUACCAAGGCGACGACGGGUAGCCGGCCUGAGAGGGUGUCCGGCCACACUGGGACUGAGAUACGGCCCAGACUCCUACGGGAGGCGGCAGUGGGGAAUAUUGCACAAUGGGCGCAAGCCUGAUGCAGCGACGCCGCGUGAGGGAUGACGGCCUUCGGGUUGUAAACCUCUUUCACUAGGGACGAAGCGCAAGUGACGGUACCUAGAGAAGAAGCACCGGCCAACUACGUGCCAGCCGCCGCAGUAA